Molecule: ribosomal RNA, 431 nt
Filed under: uncultured bacterium
Lineage: Bacteria
Description: partial 16S ribosomal RNA
Rfam family: Bacterial small subunit ribosomal RNA
Source: RNAcentral
UAGGGAAUCUUCCACAAUGGACGCAAGUCUGAUGGAGCAACGCCGCGUGAGUGAAGAAGGCUUUCGGGUCGUAAAACUCUGUUAUUGAAGAAGAACGUGUGUGACAGUAACUGGUCAUGCAGUGACGGUAUUCAAUCAGAAAGUCACGGCUAACUACGUGCCAGCAGCCGCGGUAAUACGUAGGUGGCAAGCGUUGUCCGGAUUUAUUGGGCGUAAAGCGAGUGCAGGCGGUCUUUUAAAGUCUGAUGUGAAAGCCUUCGGCUUAACCGAAGAAGGGCAUCGGAAACUGGGAGACUUGAGUGCAGAAGAGGAGAGUGGAACUCCAUGUGUAGCGGUGAAAUGCGUAGAUAUAUGGAAGAACACCAGUGGCGAAGGCGGCUCUCUGGUCUGUAACUGACGCUGAGGCUCGAAAGCGUGGGUAGCAAACAGGA